Molecule: ribosomal RNA, 383 nt
Filed under: uncultured bacterium
Lineage: Bacteria
Description: bacterial SSU rRNA
Rfam family: Bacterial small subunit ribosomal RNA
Source: RNAcentral
GACAAACGCUGGCGGCGUACCUAAGACAUGCAAGUCGAACGGGCGCUAACCCUUCGGGGUUGGUUGCGAGUGGCGGAUGGGUGAGUAACGCGUAGGAACCUGUCCUUAUGUGGGGGAUAACAGUGGGAAACCGCUGCUAAUACCGCAUGUGGUCAGUCAUCGAGAGGUGAUUGAAGAAAGGCGAAAGCCGCAGAAGGAGGGGCCUGCGUCCGAUUAGCUAGUUGGUGUGGUAACGGCACACCAAAGCGACGAUCGGUAGCUGGUCUGAGAGGAUGGUCAGCCACACUGGGACUGAGAUACGGCCCAGACUCCUACGGGAGGCAGCAGUUAGGAAUUUUGGUCAAUGGGGAACCCUGAACCAGCGACGCCGCGUGGAUGAAGAA